GGCUGUGUCUAUGGAGGAGUGGAAACACCUGUUCCCAUCCCGAACACAGAAGUUAAGCACUCCAUCGGCGAUGGUACUGCACCUACGGUGUGGGAGAGUAGCACGAUGCAGCCU
Molecule: ribosomal RNA, 114 nt
Filed under: bacterium
Lineage: Bacteria
Source: RNAcentral